Molecule: ribosomal RNA, 550 nt
Filed under: uncultured bacterium
Lineage: Bacteria
Description: bacterial SSU rRNA
Rfam family: Bacterial small subunit ribosomal RNA
Source: RNAcentral
UAGGGAAUCUUCGGCAAUGGACGGAAGUCUGACCGAGCAACGCCGCGUGAGUGAAGAAGGUUUUCGGAUCGUAAAGCUCUGUUGUAAGAGAAGAACGAGUGUGAGAGUGGAAAGUUCACACUGUGACGGUAUCUUACCAGAAAGGGACGGCUAACUACGUGCCAGCAGCCGCGGUAAUACGUAGGUCCCGAGCGUUGUCCGGAUUUAUUGGGCGUAAAGCGAGCGCAGGCGGUUAGAUAAGCCUGAAGUUAAAGGCUGUGGCUUAACCAUAGUAGGCUUUGGAAACUGUUUAACUUGAGUGCAAGAGGGGAGAGUGGAAUUCCAUGUGUAGCGGUGAAAUGCGUAGAUAUAUGGAGGAACACCGGUGGCGAAAGCGGCUCUCUGGCUUGUAACUGACGCUGAGGCUCGAAAGCGUGGGGAGCAAACGGGAUUAGAUACCCUGGUAGUCCACGCUGUAAACGAUGAGUGCUAGGUGUUAGACCCUUUCCGGGGUUUAGUACCGUAGCUAACGCAUUAAGCACUCCGCCUGGGGAGUACGACCGCAAGGUUG